Molecule: long non-coding RNA, 385 nt
Organism: Brassica rapa (field mustard)
Lineage: Eukaryota; Viridiplantae; Streptophyta; Magnoliopsida; Brassicales; Brassicaceae
Source: RefSeq, a predicted model, not a curated record
CUCCUUUGAGCUCAACGAGAUAAACACUUCCUAUAUCUCCGUAACCUAGCCGUUUCAAGACGCGGAAAUCGCUGAUUCCGAGCUUGACUCCUCUGGCUUUCAUAUAGUUCACCGCGUCCCACCUGAUAUCUCCUCCUGUGUGAGGCUUGUUGGAUGAUGUGCUUUCCAUGCUGUUGCUUCGUGAGCUCAUGUUACUGUGUACAAGACGGGGAUUCAGAUUGAUGAUGGUUGUUGAGAUGUUGAGGCCGAGUCACGAUGAAGACUCUUCUGCAAGUAACCAAAAAAGAACAUUAUUGUUAUGAGUUUCACAACUUUCUGUAAAAUAGUUUGUGUAUAUGACACAACUUUAUAGUCUUUAUCGACAUGAUAUUUUGUGUUUAUCUAU